This 143-nucleotide small RNA is filed under the name Candidatus Desulfosporosinus infrequens. RNAcentral's name for it is "ydaO-yuaA". It matches the Rfam family "c-di-AMP riboswitch aptamer (ydaO/yuaA leader)". Rfam says of the family: This family represents a conserved RNA structure found upstream of the ydaO and yuaA genes in Bacillus subtilis and related genes in other bacteria. The record is from RNAcentral. Lineage: Bacteria; Bacillati; Bacillota; Clostridia; Eubacteriales; Desulfitobacteriaceae.
ACACAUAAAAAGCUGAAUCCAGACUUUAUGUACUUGGAACGGGGGAUUAUUUUGGGGUGAAUCACGUGCUUAUUUACGUGUAGGGCUUACACCUUCUGCCCGAAUCCGUCAACUAACCUCGUAAGCUAUGGAAAGGUGGACAA